AAUUUAAAGUCUAACCUGCCCAAUGAGGAGUUAAAUGGCCGCGGUAAUUUGACCGUGCAAAGGUAGCAUAAUCAUUAGUUUUUUAAUUGAAAGCUGGAAUGAAUGGUUGGACGAGAAAAUGACUGUCUCAAUUUAAUUUUAUUAGAAUUUUAUUUUUAAGUAAAAAAGCUUAAAUGGUUUUAAAAGACGAGAAGACCCUAUAGAGUUUUAUAUAUUUUAUUAUAUAAAAGUAUUGGUAUAUAAAUAUUUAUAUAGUAUUAUGUAUUUUGUUGGGGUGAUAGAAAAAUUAAAUAAACUUUUUUUAUAUUAUUACAUUAAUUUAUGGUUGAAUGAUCCGUUAUUAACGAUUAUAAGAUUAAAUUACCUUAGGGAUAACAGCGUAAUUUUUUUUGAGAGUUCUUAUCGAAAAAAGAGUUUGCGACCUCGAUGUUGGAUUAAAAUUAAUUUCUGGUGUAGGGGCUAGAAUAUUAGGUCUGUUCGACCUUUAAAAU
Molecule: ribosomal RNA, 491 nt
Filed under: Holotrichia parallela (large black chafer)
Lineage: Eukaryota; Metazoa; Arthropoda; Insecta; Coleoptera; Scarabaeidae
Description: partial 16S ribosomal RNA
Rfam family: Bacterial large subunit ribosomal RNA
Source: RNAcentral